Molecule: transfer RNA, 76 nt
Filed under: Candidatus Symbiothrix sp.
Lineage: Bacteria; Pseudomonadati; Bacteroidota; Bacteroidia; Bacteroidales
Description: tRNA-Met
Rfam family: tRNA
About the family: Transfer RNA (tRNA) molecules are approximately 80 nucleotides in length. Their secondary structure includes four short double-helical elements and three loops (D, anti-codon, and T loops). Further hydrogen bonds mediate the characteristic L-shaped molecular structure. tRNAs have two regions of fundamental functional importance: the anti-codon, which is responsible for specific mRNA codon recognition, and the 3' end, to which the tRNAs corresponding amino acid is attached (by aminoacyl-tRNA synthetases). tRNAs cope with the degeneracy of the genetic code in two manners: having more than one tRNA (with a specific anti-codon) for a particular amino acid; and 'wobble' base-pairing, i.e. permitting non-standard base-pairing at the 3rd anti-codon position.
Source: RNAcentral
CGCGGAGUGGAGCAGUUGGUAGCUCGCCAGGCUCAUAACCUGGAGGUCGUUGGUUCGAGUCCGGCCUCCGCAACCA